RNAcentral lists this non-coding RNA (20 nucleotides) under Arabidopsis thaliana (thale cress). Lineage: Eukaryota; Viridiplantae; Streptophyta; Magnoliopsida; Brassicales; Brassicaceae. The record is from RNAcentral.
GCCCGCUGCGCCUCCUCCGA